Molecule: ribosomal RNA, 449 nt
Filed under: Cylindrotheca sp. RCC5463
Lineage: Eukaryota; Bacillariophyta; Bacillariophyceae; Bacillariales; Bacillariaceae
Description: SSU rRNA
Rfam family: Eukaryotic small subunit ribosomal RNA
Source: RNAcentral
UUGUGGUGUAUGCAGGCGGCCCGGCACUUUGUGCUGGUGUUUGCUUGCGUCGCCAUCCUUGGGUGGAUCCUGUGUGGCAUUAAGUUGUCGUGCAGGGGAUGCCCAUCGUUUACUGUGAAAAAAUUAGAGUGUUCAAAGCAGGCUUACGCCGUUGAAUAUAUUAGCAUGGAAUAAUAAGAUAGGACCUUGGUACUAUUUUGUUGGUUUGCGCACCAAGGUAAUGAUUAAUAGGGACAGUUGGGGGUAUUCGUAUUUCAUUGUCAGAGGUGAAAUUCUUGGAUUUUUGAAAGACGAACUACUGCGAAAGCAUUUACCAAGGAUGUUUUCAUUAAUCAAGAACGAAAGUUAGGGGAUCGAAGAUGAUUAGAUACCAUCGUAGUCUUAACCAUAAACUAUGCCGACAAGGGAUUGGCGGAGUUUCGUUAUGUCUCCGUCAGCACCUUAUGAGA